RNAcentral lists this ribosomal RNA (474 nucleotides) under uncultured organism. RNAcentral describes it as "partial 16S ribosomal RNA". It matches the Rfam family "Bacterial small subunit ribosomal RNA", at positions 335 to 800 of the family's 1533-position model. The record is from RNAcentral.
ACUCCUACGGGAGGCAGCAGUGGGGAAUUUUGGACAAUGGGCGAAAGCCUGAUCCAGCCAUGCCGCGUGCAGGAUGAAGGCCUUCGGGUUGUAAACUGCUUUUGUACGGAACGAAACGGCCUUUUCUAAUAAAGAGGGCUAAUGACGGUACCGUAAGAAUAAGCACCGGCUAACUACGUGCCAGCAGCCGCGGUAAUACGUAGGGUGCAAGCGUUAAUCGGAAUUACUGGGCGUAAAGCGUGCGCAGGCGGUUAUGUAAGACAGUUGUGAAAUCCCCGGGCUCAACCUGGGAACUGCAUCUGUGACUGCAUAGCUAGAGUACGGUAGAGGGGGAUGGAAUUCCGCGUGUAGCAGUGAAAUGCGUAGAUAUGCGGAGGAACACCGAUGGCGAAGGCAAUCCCCUGGACCUGUACUGACGCUCAUGCACGAAAGCGUGGGGAGCAAACAGGAUUAGAUACCCUGGUAGUCCCAUGA